GCAGUUUCUAGUGGCGGGGUCUAUUGGUGGCAAAAGGCCUGGCUUGGCUCAUUUUAGGGGCAGAAAAUGGCUCAGGCUGAAUAAAGGGUCUGGGCUUCCUUUAGGAUGGAACUGGAAGGUGGAUAGGAAAUCCCCUGGGGCUUAUUGAAUUGAGUCAGGUGGCAGUCUGGUAAGAAUUCCUUUUGUGUUCCUUUGCUCUGGCUAGGGCCUGGGAUUUUAAAUAACAAAAGCUUAGGGAAAAUGUCCUUGAACUUACUAUCUGUAUCCUUCAAGCUCCAUUGCUUGUAAGGUAAAUGUUGGGCAUAUUAGACUCUGUGCUUCACUUUCUUUGAAUCUCCCCAAUACAAGUGAUAAUAGAGAAAUUAACUCUGGAUAUUUUGCUAAGGUUAAGUCAGUUAAUAGGCAUCAAGGUUUUAGAAUGUAGGAAUCUCGCAAAUUAAUUGUUAUUGAUAUUCGUAUUGCUUUCUGGGGUUUGGACUAUUCUGACUUUAAAUCUAAGGUCUGUCAUCUAUUACCUAUGAGAUCAAGCAAAUGCCAAACCUCUGAACCUCAGAGGUCCUCUUGCUGUAAGUGGGAAUAAUCAUUUCAUGUGAACAACACUUAGGGUUUUUUUUGUUUUGUUUUGUUUUGUUUUGAGGGGUGGGGGUGGGGGCACUCCGCUACUGAGCCACAUUCCUAGCUCUGUUUUGUAUUUUAUUAGAGACAAGGUGUCACUGAGUUGCUUAACAUCUCGGUAAGCUGCUGAGGCUGGCUUUGAACUUGCCAUCCUCCUGCCCCUGCUUCCUGAGCCACUGGGAUUACAGGCAUGCACCACCAAGGCAGCCCAGUACUUAGUUUUGAUUUAAUUAAUUUUCUUCUCAUAAACAAAAAUUCUGAAAGGUCAUUGUUUCUAAGCCCCAACAGACCAGACCAAACCAAAAUGAAGUUACCGGUGCUAAAUGCCACAGACACUGAAGCUUUAAGGAAGCAGAUAGAUCCCCAAACACAGCAGUCUUUCCGGAAAACAGGAGACCCUAGUGUACAGGAUCCUGCAUAAGAACUCUUCCUUCCACUUUAACCCUUACAACAAGACCUUGAGGUAAACUUGUGUUCACCAGUAUUUUCCUCUUGUUCUACAUUCUUGUUUCUACCUUUCAAAACCCAAUAUUCUGCUACUUCCCAGUGAGAGUUUUCAUUCUGUUUUGUAAGCUGGAGGCUGCCCAAUUCAUGAAUCACGAA
Molecule: long non-coding RNA, 1218 nt
Filed under: Marmota monax (woodchuck)
Lineage: Eukaryota; Metazoa; Chordata; Mammalia; Rodentia; Sciuridae
Source: RNAcentral